CCUACGGGAGGCAGCAGUGAGGAAUAUUGGUCAAUGGACGAGAGUCUGAACCAGCCAAGUAGCGUGAAGGAUGACUGCCCUAUGGGUUGUAAACUUCUUUUAUAAAGGAAUAAAACGAGGCACGUGUGCCUUUUUGCAUGUACUUUAUGAAUACGGAUCGGCUAACUCCGUGCCAGCAGCCGCGGUAAUACGGAGGAUCCGAGCGUUAUCCGGAUUUAUUGGGUUUAAAGGGUGCGUAGAUGGGUUGUUAAGUCAGUUGUUAAAUUUUGCGGCUCAACCGUAAAAUUGCAAUUGAUACUGGCAGUCUAGAGUACAGUUGAGGUAGGCGGAAUUCGUGGUGUAGCGGUGAAAUGCUUAGAUAUCACGAAGAACCCCGAUUGCGAAGGCAGCCUACUAAACUGUGACUGACAUUGAUGCUCGAAAGUGUGGGUAUCAAACAGGAUUAGAUACCCGGGUAGUG
Molecule: ribosomal RNA, 460 nt
Filed under: uncultured bacterium
Lineage: Bacteria
Description: partial 16S ribosomal RNA
Rfam family: Bacterial small subunit ribosomal RNA
Source: RNAcentral